RNAcentral lists this transfer RNA (66 nucleotides) under Longivalvus hyalospilus. Its description in RNAcentral is "tRNA-Ser". Lineage: Eukaryota; Metazoa; Arthropoda; Insecta; Psocodea; Psocidae. The record is from RNAcentral.
GAAUUAAUAUGCCCCUGUUUGAGCUGCUAACUCAAUAAGAAAUGGUUUAACUCCAUUUUUGAUUCA